GACGAACGUUGGCGGCGUGCUUAACACAUGCAAGUCGAGCGAUGAAGCACCUUCGGGUGUGAAUUAGCGGCGAACGGGUGAGGAACACGUGAGAAAUCUGCCUUCAACACUGGGAUAACUCCGGGAAACCGGGGCUAAUACCGGAUAUGAAACCUGCGGGCAUCCGCGGGUUUGGAAAGUUUUUCGGUUGAAGAUGAUCUCGCGGCCUAUCAGCGUGUUGGUGAGGUAAUGGCUCACCACGGCGACGACGGGUAGCCGGCCUGAGAGGGCGACCGGCCAAACUGGGACUGAGACACGGCCCAGACUCCUACGGGAGGCAGCAGUGGGGAAUAUUGGGCAAUGGAGGAAACUCUGACCCAGCGACGCCGCGUGCGGGAUGAAGGCCUUCGGGUUGUAAACCGCUUUCAGCAGAGAAGAAGCGAAAGUGACGGUACCUGCAGAAGAAGCACCGGCUAACUAUGUGCCAGCCGCCGCCGUAA
Molecule: ribosomal RNA, 479 nt
Filed under: uncultured bacterium
Lineage: Bacteria
Description: partial 16S ribosomal RNA
Rfam family: Bacterial small subunit ribosomal RNA
Source: RNAcentral